This 440-nucleotide ribosomal RNA is filed under the name uncultured bacterium. Its description in RNAcentral is "partial 16S ribosomal RNA". It matches the Rfam family "Bacterial small subunit ribosomal RNA", at positions 338 to 795 of the family's 1533-position model. The record is from RNAcentral.
CCUACGGGAGGCAGCAGUGGGGAAUAUUGCACAAUGGGGGAAACCCUGAUGCAGCGACGCCGCGUGAGUGAUGAAGUAUUUCGGUAUGUAAAGCUCUUUCAGUAGGGAAGAAAAUGACGGUACCUGACCAAUAAGCCCCGGCUAACUACGUGCCAGCAGCCGCGGUAAUACGUAGGGGGCAAGCGUUAUCCGGAUUUACUGGGUGUAAAGGGAGCGUAGGCGGCAGGGCAAGUCUGGAGUGAAAGGCGGGGGCUCAACCCCCGGACUGCUCUGGAAACUGGCAGGCUGGAGUGCAGGAGAGGUAAGUGGAAUUCCUAGUGUAGCGGUGAAAUGCGUAGAUAUGAGGAGGAACACCAGUGGCGAAGGCGGCUUACUGGACUGUAACUGACGUUGAGGCUCGAAAGCGUGGGGAGCAAACAGGAUUAGAUACCCCAGUAGUC